GUGACCCCAGGACGGGCGAGGCCACCCGCUGAGUUU
This 36-nucleotide ribosomal RNA is filed under the name Maxillaria marginata. Its description in RNAcentral is "partial 26S ribosomal RNA". RNAcentral also lists the same sequence under 3 other names. Lineage: Eukaryota; Viridiplantae; Streptophyta; Magnoliopsida; Asparagales; Orchidaceae. The record is from RNAcentral.